AAGGAUCAUUACUGAAGAUUUGGCCUUCGGGUCGCUCUUCCACCCUUUGUUUACCUUUACCAUGUUGCUUUGGCGGGCCGCCUUAGGCCACCGGCUCCCGGGCUGGUGAGCGCCCGCCAGAGACACCCUUAACCCUAACCAUUUUGACGUUUGUCUGAGAAAAAACUUAAUUGUUAAAACUUUCAACAACGGAUCUCUUGGCUCUG
Molecule: unclassified non-coding RNA, 206 nt
Filed under: uncultured fungus
Lineage: Eukaryota; Fungi
Description: partial contains 18S rRNA, ITS1, 5.8S rRNA, ITS2 and 28S rRNA
Source: RNAcentral